This 619-nucleotide ribosomal RNA is filed under the name Dickeya dadantii. RNAcentral's name for it is "bacterial LSU rRNA". It matches the Rfam family "Bacterial large subunit ribosomal RNA", at positions 593 to 1212 of the family's 2925-position model. The record is from RNAcentral. Lineage: Bacteria; Pseudomonadati; Pseudomonadota; Gammaproteobacteria; Enterobacterales; Pectobacteriaceae.
GUGACUGCGUACCUUUUGUAUAAUGGGUCAGCGACUUAUAUUCUGUAGCAAGGUUAACCGUAUAGGGGAGCCGCAGGGAAACCGAGUCUUAACUGGGCGUUAAGUUGCAGGGUAUAGACCCGAAACCCGGUGAUCUAGCCAUGGGCAGGUUGAAGGUUGGGUAACACUAACUGGAGGACCGAACCGACUAAUGUUGAAAAAUUAGCGGAUGACUUGUGGCUGGGGGUGAAAGGCCAAUCAAACCGGGAGAUAGCUGGUUCUCCCCGAAAGCUAUUUAGGUAGCGCCUCGUGAAUUCAUCUUCGGGGGUAGAGCACUGUUUCGGCUAGGGGGCCAUCCCGGCUUACCAACCCGAUGCAAACUGCGAAUACCGAAGAAUGUUAUCACGGGAGACACACGGCGGGUGCUAACGUCCGUCGUGAAGAGGGAAACAACCCAGACCGCCAGCUAAGGUCCCAAAGUCAUGGUUAAGUGGGAAACGAUGUGGGAAGGCCCAGACAGCCAGGAUGUUGGCUUAGAAGCAGCCAUCAUUUAAAGAAAGCGUAAUAGCUCACUGGUCGAGUCGGCCUGCGCGGAAGAUGUAACGGGGCUAAAACCAUGCACCGAAGCUGCGGCAGCGAC